GACGAACGCUGGCGGCGUGCUUAACACAUGCAAGUCGAACGGAGAGGCCCUGCUUUUGUGGGGUGCUCGAGUGGCGAACGGGUGAGUAACACGUGAGUAACCUGCCCUUGACUUUGGGAUAACUUCAGGAAACUGGGGCUAAUACCGGAUAGGAGCUCCUGCUGCAUGGUGGGGGUUGGAAAGUUUCGGCGGUUGGGGAUGGACUCGCGGCUUAUCAGCUUGUUGGUGGGGUAGUGGCUUACCAAGGCUUUGACGGGUAGCCGGCCUGAGAGGGUGACCGGCCACAUUGGGACUGAGAUACGGCCCAGACUCCUACGGGAGGCAGCAGUGGGGAAUAUUGCACAAUGGGCGGAAGCCUGAUGCAGCAACGCCGCGUGCGGGAUGACGGCCUUCGGGUUGUAAACCGCUUUCGCCUGUGACGAAGCGCGAGUGACGGUAAUGGGUAAAGAAGCACCGGCUAACUACGUG
Molecule: ribosomal RNA, 468 nt
Filed under: uncultured bacterium
Lineage: Bacteria
Description: partial 16S ribosomal RNA
Rfam family: Bacterial small subunit ribosomal RNA
Source: RNAcentral